RNAcentral lists this microRNA precursor (61 nucleotides) under Podarcis lilfordi (Lilford's wall lizard). The record is from RNAcentral. Lineage: Eukaryota; Metazoa; Chordata; Lepidosauria; Squamata; Lacertidae.
UUUUAUUGUUGUUAGCUGCCCUGAGCCCGGCUUCGGCUCAGGGCAGCUAACAACAAUAAAA